GAUGAACGCUGGCGGCGUGCCUAAUACAUGCAAGUCGAGCGAACAGACGAGGAGCUUGCUCCUCUGACGUUAGCGGCGGACGGGUGAGUAACACGUGGAUAACCUACCUAUAAGACUGGGAUAACUUCGGGAAACCGGAGCUAAUACCGGAUAAUAUAUUGAACCGCAUGGUUCAAUAGUGAAAGACGGUUUUGCUGUCACUUAUAGAUGGAUCCGCGCCGCAUUAGCUAGUUGGUAAGGUAACAGCUUACCAAGGCAACGAUGCGUAGCCGACCUGAGAGGGGGGUCGGCCACACGUGAACGGAGGAAGCGUCCCAACCCCCACGGGGGGGAGCAGGUGGGAAUUCUCCCGAAAGGGGCAAAGCCCGACGGGGCCACGCCCGGGGGGUGAAAAAGGUUUUCGGAUUGUAAAACCUUUUUUUUGGGGAAAAAAAAAUUUGGAAAUAAACUUCCCCGUUCUGGCCGGACCUAAAGAAGAAGCCCCCGUCAACCUCCG
RNAcentral lists this ribosomal RNA (496 nucleotides) under uncultured bacterium. Its description in RNAcentral is "partial 16S ribosomal RNA". It matches the Rfam family "Bacterial small subunit ribosomal RNA", at positions 28 to 506 of the family's 1533-position model. The record is from RNAcentral.